Molecule: ribosomal RNA, 828 nt
Filed under: Candidatus Lloydbacteria bacterium
Lineage: Bacteria; Candidatus Lloydiibacteriota
Description: partial 23S ribosomal RNA
Rfam family: Bacterial large subunit ribosomal RNA
Source: RNAcentral
CGAUGGUCCGUUUUAGAGACGGCCAGAGAUUAACGGAUAAAAGCUACUCCGGGGAUAACAGGCUAGUUCCGCCCAAGAGUUCAUAUCGACGGCGGAGUUCGGCACCUCGAUGUCGGCUCACCUUAUCCUGGGGCUGGAGAAGGUCCCAAGGGUUUGGCUGUUCGCCAAUUAAAAAGGUACGCGAGCUGGGUUCAAACCGUUCAAUAGCGGAAACUGUUUCAGCUAUUGAACCCGUUUGAACCCCAUUGAGGAGAAAGUUUUAAUCUUUUUGUCUAAAAAUAGAAAAAAUAAAAUAAAGGGGAGCACCCUUUAUCGUAACCGCGUUUGAACAAUUUUUGUUUAGCGCUCUUUAAAAUAAAAGCAGAUAGAAUCAAUCAAAUCACGGCGAUCACGAAAAUUUUUUGUGAUGUUGCUGACUUAUAUCGGUGAAGUCCUUUUGGGAUAACACCGAGGGAAUCCGCUCUGAGCGGGGCCCGUAGAGACUAAACGUCAGCUUCCGAUACAGGUUCGGAAAAGUUAUAGUCCAAUGCCAAUAGCAAUAUUGGGUAUCAUGCGUGAGACAGGUUGGUCUCCUAUCUACUGCAGGCGUCGAUUCUUGAGAGGAUUCGUUCUUAGUACGAGAGGACCGGAAUGAACUGACCUCUGGUCUACCUGCUGUCACGCCAGUGGCAGCGCAGGGUAGCUAAGUCGGGAAUGGAUAACCGCUGAAAGCAUCUAAGCGGGAAGCCAACCUCAAGAUAAGGAAUCAUUUAAGGCCCGUGAGAGAUGAUCACGUUGAUAGGCUCUAGGUGUACGGCGAGCAAUCGCUUCAGCCGAGGAGUACUAAUC